This 268-nucleotide ribosomal RNA is filed under the name uncultured bacterium. Its description in RNAcentral is "partial 16S ribosomal RNA". It matches the Rfam family "Bacterial small subunit ribosomal RNA", at positions 87 to 353 of the family's 1533-position model. The record is from RNAcentral.
GAUGGCGACCGGCGCACGGGUGAGUAACACGUAUCCAACCUGCCGAUGACUCGGGGGAUAGCCUUUCGAAAGAAAGAUUAAUACCCGAUGGCAUAGUUCUUCCGCAUGGUAGAACUAUUAAAGAAUUUCGGUCAUCGAUGGGGAUGCGUUCCAUUAGGUUGUUGGCGGGGUAACGGCCCACCAAGCCUUCGAUGGAUAGGGGUUCUGAGAGGAAGGUCCCCCACAUUGGAACUGAGACACGGUCCAAACUCCUACGGGAGGCAGCAUG